AUACUUUGAGUCCCCUCUCCAAGGGGUUGACUGUGCCCUUUUUAGGAACGUAGCAGCUUGUAGGAAAAUUGGGCAUACCCGAGACUCUGUUGAACAAGGGAUACUUGUUUCCUUGGCCUGCCUUUGGCUGCCUACAUGU
Small nucleolar RNA from Acomys russatus (golden spiny mouse), 139 nucleotides. RefSeq annotates it as small nucleolar RNA SNORA67. NCBI's taxonomy places the organism in Eukaryota, Metazoa, Chordata, Mammalia, Rodentia, Muridae. The record is from RefSeq and is a predicted model, not a curated record. The transcript has a single exon.